GAUGAACGCUAGCGGCAGGCCUAACACAUGCAAGUCGAGGGAGAAGCCUUUCGGGGCAGAAACCGGCGCACGGGUGCGUAACACGUAUGCAACCUACCUUUCACAGGGGGAUAGCCCGAAGAAAUUUGGAUUAAUACCCCAUAAUAUUGUUGGAUGGCAUCAUUUGACAAUUAAAACUGAGGUGGUGGAAGAUGGGCAUGCGUCCUAUUAGCUAGUUGGAGUGGUAACGGCACCCCAAGGCUACGAUAGGUAGGGGUCCUGAGAGGGAGAUCCCCCACACUGGUACUGAGACAGGGACCAGACUCCUACGGGAGGCAGCAGUGAGGAAUAUUGGUCAAUGGUCGGAAGACUGAACCAGCCAUGCCGCGUGCAGGAAGAAUGCCUUAUGGGUUGUAAACUGCUUUUAUAUGGGAAGAAUAAGGUGUACGUGUACAUUAAUGACGGUACCAUAUAAUAGC
This 458-nucleotide ribosomal RNA is filed under the name Capnocytophaga gingivalis. RNAcentral's name for it is "bacterial SSU rRNA". It matches the Rfam family "Bacterial small subunit ribosomal RNA", at positions 28 to 491 of the family's 1533-position model. Lineage: Bacteria; Pseudomonadati; Bacteroidota; Flavobacteriia; Flavobacteriales; Flavobacteriaceae. The record is from RNAcentral.